This 754-nucleotide ribosomal RNA is filed under the name Bacillus cereus. RNAcentral's name for it is "bacterial SSU rRNA". It matches the Rfam family "Bacterial small subunit ribosomal RNA", at positions 21 to 757 of the family's 1533-position model. Lineage: Bacteria; Bacillati; Bacillota; Bacilli; Caryophanales; Bacillaceae. The record is from RNAcentral.
GGCUCAGAAUGACGCUGGCGGCGUGCUUAAUACAUGCAAGUCGAGCGAAUGGAUUAAGAGCUUGCUCUUAUGAAGUUAGCGGCGGACGGGUGAGUAACACGUGGGUAACCUGCCCAUAAGACUGGGAUAACUCCGGGAAACCGGGGCUAAUACCGGAUAACAUUUUGAACUGCAUGGUUCGAAAUUGAAAGGCGGCUUCGGCUGUCACUUAUGGAUGGACCCGCGUCGCAUUAGCUAGUUGGUGAGGUAACGGCUCACCAAGGCAACGAUGCGUAGCCGACCUGAGAGGGUGAUCGGCCACACUGGGACUGAGACACGGCCCAGACUCCUACGGGAGGCAGCAGUAGGGAAUCUUCCGCAAUGGACGAAAGUCUGACGGAGCAACGCCGCGUGAGUGAUGAAGGCUUUCGGGUCGUAAAACUCUGUUGUUAGGGAAGAACAAGUGCUAGUUGAAUAAGCUGGCACCUUGACGGUACCUAACCAGAAAGCCACGGCUAACUACGUGCCAGCAGCCGCGGUAAUACGUAGGUGGCAAGCGUUAUCCGGAAUUAUUGGGCGUAAAGCGCGCGCAGGUGGUUUCUUAAGUCUGAUGUGAAAGCCCACGGCUCAACCGUGGAGGGUCAUUGGAAACUGGGAGACUUGAGUGCAGAAGAGGAAAGUGGAAUUCCAUGUGUAGCGGUGAAAUGCGUAGAGAUAUGGAGGAACACCAGUGGCGAAGGCGACUUUCNGGUCUGUAACUACACUAGGCGGCNAC